CAGUAGCCGCGGUAAUACGAAGGGUGCAAGCGUUAAUCGGAAUUACUGGGCGUAAAGCGUGCGUAGGCGGUUUGUUAAGUCUGUUGUGAAAUCCCCGGGCUCAACCUGGGAAUGGCAGUGGAUACUGGCUCGCUAGAGUGUGUCAGAGGAUGGUGGAAUUCCCGGUGUAGCGGUGAAAUGCGUAGAGAUCGGGAGGAACAUCAGUGGCGAAGGCGGCCAUCUGGGACAACACUGACGCUGAGGCACGAAAGCGUGGGGAGCAAACAGGAUUAGAUACCCCAGUAGUCCCUGUCUCUUAUAC
RNAcentral lists this ribosomal RNA (301 nucleotides) under uncultured bacterium. RNAcentral's name for it is "partial 16S ribosomal RNA". It matches the Rfam family "Bacterial small subunit ribosomal RNA", at positions 509 to 807 of the family's 1533-position model. The record is from RNAcentral.